UAGAAAGUGAAAGUGGUGGAGGGUCAGAUAGUUCCCUACUCUCUUCCUCGGCCUACUGGGCAGAGAUGAGUCUCUCUAAAAUCUUGAAGAACCGAUCAACAUCCUCUGAAAGCGACCCAUCUCGGGCUGCCCUGUUCGGUAAGGGACCUCAUCUCCUUGUGUCUUUGUACUUAUUUUUCACAAGGAAGGAUUGGGCGAUAGUUC
RNAcentral lists this long non-coding RNA (204 nucleotides) under Carica papaya (papaya). RNAcentral describes it as "long non-coding RNA (CPAP_LNC001426)". The record is from RNAcentral. Lineage: Eukaryota; Viridiplantae; Streptophyta; Magnoliopsida; Brassicales; Caricaceae.